Molecule: long non-coding RNA, 965 nt
Organism: Physcomitrium patens
Lineage: Eukaryota; Viridiplantae; Streptophyta; Bryopsida; Funariales; Funariaceae
Source: RefSeq, a predicted model, not a curated record
GCGCUUGCCGGUGCCAUCGACGAGACAUCCCUCCGGCCCUCGACUUGUUUUUUUUGAGCUUGGGCGGGAGAUUUGAGGCUUCGGUUCCAUCGCUACAUCGUGAAGCUUCUCUUCAUCGGAGAUCUCCAGAAUCGCAACGCACUACUCCAGUGGUGAGGUUUGAGCCUGCGUAGGCUGUGUGUCGGUGGAUAAUUUGUUACUCGUUGUUCCUACAGCUUUAAGCAAAAGACUCGUAAGAGAUGGCUUGUAUCCCGAUUCCCCUCUGUAUCGAGUGCGGGAAUACUGACAAUCCAUGUCGAUGCAAAAUUAUUGGACCUACGUUGGGGUUCGUUGGCUUCGUCGUGGCAGCUGUGAUUGAAUGGCCAAUCGGAGCGGCAGUCUGGUGCUGCAACCACAAGAAGGGAGAGCGGAUAAUGUCUCACCCGGCUAUGGUUGUCAGGCCAAGCAUUUCCAAUUGCAUACCGUUCUAGCGCAUAAUUUUGGAACAAGGUAAUUCUGUCAAAAUGUAAGGCUAUUCAGUCUGUGGGCAGGGCUGCUAUGACUUCUGUUGUACACAGCAUCAAUGGCACCGGUGACAAUGAGGUUCGAGUUUGAAGCAUAUUUUAUGAUACCUUGCGAAAGAUGUGUUCACAAGGGUGCAAUGCUAAGCGUUGUUCGAGCAUCCUUAUAUCAUGGGGAUUUGUGAGAACUGAACGAGUAAAAAUCAUGGUACAAAGUAUACCCAACGUAGUACGUGUAGGGGUAACUUGUUGGUUUCAGUUGUGGAGCAAUGUGUGAAACAAUCGGAUCUGGUAGGGAUCUGGUAGCUCAGCUAUAAAUUUUGGUGUAAUUUGAGGACAUGUUACAUGUAAUGUGUAGUUCUAUCUGGGGAAUAGGUGCGUGAUGGAAUAAUUAAGCCCAACAUGGUUGUGUAAGUGUAAUUGACGAUUAAUGCAUUGCCAGUGCUCGAUUUCUCAUUUCCAACA